RNAcentral lists this ribosomal RNA (274 nucleotides) under uncultured bacterium. RNAcentral describes it as "partial 16S ribosomal RNA". It matches the Rfam family "Bacterial small subunit ribosomal RNA", at positions 523 to 796 of the family's 1533-position model. The record is from RNAcentral.
AUACGGAGGGUGCGAACGUUAAUCGGAAUUACUGGGCGUAAAGCGCGCGUAGGCGGUUUGAUAAGUGGGAUGUGAAAGCCCCGGGCUCAACCUGGGAACUGCAUUCCAAACUGUCAGGCUAGAGUAUGGUAGAGGGAGGUAGAAUUUCCUGUGUAGCGGUGAAAUGCGUAGAUAUAGGAAGGAAUACCGGUGGCGAAGGCGGCCUCCUGGACCAAUACUGACGCUGAGGUGCGAAAGCGUGGGGAGCAAACAGGAUUAGAUACCCUAGUAGUCC